AUGGCGAGUUUCGCAGCUCCGGUAUCCUCCAUGGAUGCAGCUGCAGCCCUUUGCCUUGUGCUCAUUCUAGCCACCACGACUACCUCUCCUGUCUAUGGGCAACAAACCAACAACGGCGGGUGCAUCACAAAGGAGGGGGACGCACUGCUGUCUUUCAGAGCUGGCAUCAGAAGCGAUCCACAGAACCUCUUUUCCUCUUGGAAUGGCCGAGAUUGCUGCCAGUGGAGCGGUGUCAGGUGCAGCAACAGGACAGGCCAUGUCGUCAAGCUCGACGUCCGCAACGGUCUCUUCUUGGACGAUAUCUAUCGUAGCUGGUACAGUGAAAAUCCUCAUGGAAUGCGUGGGAACAUAAGUUCUUCCUUAGUUGCUUUGCAUCAUUUGGAGUAUCUAGAUCUGAGUGGGAACUAUCUCAGUGGAGUGGAUGUGCCCAUACCCGGAUUCUUGGGCUCCCUCCAAAGCUUGAGAUAUCUCAACCUCUCUUCCAUGGAUUUUCAUGGUAAAGUGCCUCCUCAACUUGGUAACUUGUCCAGACUGCUAUAUCUUGACCUCAACAACAACUGGAAUCAUAAUUCUUAUGGCAUGAUGUUGCACAUCGAGGAUAUCUCAUGGUUGCUGCGUCUCGCUUUGCUAAGGUUUCUCGACUUGACUAGUGUGAAUCUUAGUGCCAUUGGCAAUUGGGUUCAAGUGGUUAACACGCUAUACAAUCUAAGAGUCCUUCGUCUCCGUCGUUGUGGACUUGUUUUUCCACAGACACCUACUGUGCAUUCUAACCUCACAUCACUUCAGAUUCUUGAUCUAAGUGAUACUGGGUUUCAUACCAUCAAUCCAACCUACUGGUUCUGGGAUGUUGGCACCAUCAUGCAUCUUGACCUUACGAAUAAUGAAAUCGCUGAAGCAUUUCCAGAUGCCAUGGGAAAUAUGACUUCGCUUGAGGUACUUCAUCUUGGAGGCAAUCAUCUCACUAGUAUAAAGCCGGAAGUACUGGGAAACCUGUGCUAUUUGAGAGUGCUAACACUCUGGUCAAAUCUGAUCAAUCAAGACAUUUCACAAUUUUUACAGGGGUUGCCUCACUGUGCAUGGAGUAAGAUGGAGUUAUUAGACAUGUCUUGCACAAAUGUCACCGGGGAAAUUCCAAGGUGGAUAAAUCAGUGGACUGAUUUGAGCACUCUUCAACUCUCCUCCAAUAGGCUUGAAGGAUCAGUGCCUUCAGAAAUUGGUAUGCUUGGCAAACUCAAACAGUUGUAUCUAGACGGCAACUAUUUUAAUGGUUCUAUAUCAGAGGAACAUCUUGACACUUUAGUCAACUUGGAGGAAUUGGACUUGUCUUACAACUCCCUACACCUGAUGAUCAGCUCAAAUUGGAUCCCCCCCUUUAAAUUGCGCCGGGCAUAUUUCCCACGCUGCAAAAUGGGACCUCAUUUUCCUCUCUGGCUAAAUUGGCAGAAGGGUGUUGUUUAUCUUGACAUUUCUGAUGCAGGCAUAGUUGAUAACCUCCCGGAUUGGUUUUGGAGUGUGGUUUCAAAUGUUCAAUACUUGAACAUCUCUUUUAACCAAAUCAGUGGCAGGUUGCCAAGGACUCUUGAGUUUAUGUCUUCAGCAGUGAUAUUUGAUCUGAACUCCAACAACCUCACUGGUACUCUGCCGCUGUUGCCAAGGCAAUUGGCAGAACUGGACAUUUCCAGAAACUCUUUAUCAGGGCCACUGCCACGAAACUUUGGAGCUCCGUUUAUUGAAGAGUUGUUGCUUUCUGAGAAUAGUAUCAAUGGCUCGAUUCCAACAUAUAUUUGUCAGCUGCAGUCACUAUUGGUACUGGAUUUAGCAAAGAACCUCCUAGCAGGACACCUCCCCGUCUGUUCAGAAGAAACUAAAAAACUGAAUAGAUCCAUUAGAGCUCUAGUCCUGUAUGAAAACAACUUGUCUGGUGAAUUCCCUUCAUUUUUGAAGAGCUGCUCAGAGUUGGUUCUGCUUGAUCUUGCGCACAACAACUUUGUCGGAGAGUUGCCGGCAUGGUUAGCAAACAAAUUGCCAAAUUUGUCCUACCUCCGGUUGCGGCAUAAUAAAUUCUCUGGCUCUAUUCCAGGUCAGCUCACCCAGCUUGAACACCUACAGUAUGUGGACCUUGCAGAUAACCGAAUAUCAGGAUCUAUACCUCAUUCGUUGGCCAACUUAAAAGCAAUGAUACAGGAGGACCAAACAAUUUGGAACCCCUUAGUGUGGAGUUAUGAAAGGCCAGCAAACCCUGACACGAAUGAUUCACCAAAAUAUGAUGACAGCUUAGCAGUGGUAAUUAAAGGCCAAGACCUUGAUUACACCAGCACUAUUAUUUAUAUAGUUGGCCUCGACUUGUCCUGCAACAGUUUGGUCGGAGAGAUUCCAGAUGAAUUGACUUCCCUGGUUAGAAUGAAUAACCUGAACAUCUCCCAUAAUCAGUUGUCCGGCAGGAUCCCGGAGAAGGUCGGUUCGCUACGGUCAUUGGAGUCUCUCGACCUGUCCUUCAAUGAACUCUCUGGCGACAUCCCUUCCGGUCUCUCGGACAUCAUGAUGUUAAGCAAGCUGAACUUGUCAUACAAUAACCUUUCAGGAAGAAUACCCUCAGGGAACCAGCUGCAGUCACUCAUCGACCCAGCAUCGUCGUAUAUCGGCAACAACUAUCUCUGUGGGACUCCUCUUUCGAGGAACUGCUGGGAGCCUGAUGUAACUAGAGGUGAUAUUGAGGAGCAUCAAGACGAGGCGAAGUAUUUCUAUCUUGGGCUGGCUGCAGGAUUUGUCUUUGGUCUCUGGCUGGUGUUCAUUAUCUUGUUUCGUUCAUGUGGUGGGUUCGCAAUGUGCGGAGCAAUGCCAUCAUGCUGGGCACGACUGCCUGAAGCUCAAGGAUUGGCAUUGCAGCUUCGUCGUGGGUGA
RNAcentral lists this ribosomal RNA (2901 nucleotides) under Triticum aestivum (bread wheat). RNAcentral describes it as "partial small subunit ribosomal RNA". The record is from RNAcentral. Lineage: Eukaryota; Viridiplantae; Streptophyta; Magnoliopsida; Poales; Poaceae.